UACGGAGGAUCCAAGCGUUAUCCGGAAUCAUUGUGUUUAAAGGGUCCGUAGGCGGGAUAAUAAGUCAGCGGUGAAAGUCUGCAUCUCAACUGUAGAAUUGCCAUUGAUACUGUUGUUCUUGAGUGCUUAUGAAGUGGUUAGAAUAUGUAGUGUAGCGGUGAAAUGCAUAGAUAUUACAUAGAAUACCGAUUGCGAAGGCAGAUCACUAAUAAGAUACUGACACUGAUGGACGAAAGCGUGGGUAGCAAACAGG
This 253-nucleotide unclassified non-coding RNA is filed under the name uncultured Flavobacteriaceae bacterium. Its description in RNAcentral is "contains 16S-23S intergenic spacer region". It matches the Rfam family "Bacterial small subunit ribosomal RNA", at positions 524 to 776 of the family's 1533-position model. The record is from RNAcentral. Lineage: Bacteria; Pseudomonadati; Bacteroidota; Flavobacteriia; Flavobacteriales; Flavobacteriaceae.